CAGUAGCCACGGUAAUGCGAAGGGGGCUAGCGUUGCUCGGAAUGACUGGGCGUAAAGGGCGCGUAGGCGGCGAUCAAAGUCAGGCGUGAAAUUCCUGGGCUCAACCUGGGGGCUGCGCUUGAUACUUGGUUGCUUGAGUGGGGAAGAGGGUCGUGGAAUUCCCAGUGUAGAGGUGAAAUUCGUAGAUAUUGGGAAGAACACCGGUGGCGAAGGCGGCGACCUGGUCCUUGACUGACGCUGAGGCGCGAAAGCGUGGGGAGCAAACAGGAUUAGAUACCCCAGUAGUCCCUGUCUCUUAUAC
RNAcentral lists this ribosomal RNA (301 nucleotides) under uncultured bacterium. Its description in RNAcentral is "partial 16S ribosomal RNA". It matches the Rfam family "Bacterial small subunit ribosomal RNA", at positions 509 to 807 of the family's 1533-position model. The record is from RNAcentral.